RNAcentral lists this microRNA precursor (127 nucleotides) under Hordeum vulgare. RNAcentral describes it as "microRNA MIR1122". It matches the Rfam family "MIR1120/MIR1122 microRNA precursor family". The record is from RNAcentral. Lineage: Eukaryota; Viridiplantae; Streptophyta; Magnoliopsida; Poales; Poaceae.
AAAGUACUCCCUCCGUUUCAAAAUUCUUGUCUUAGAUUUGUCUAUAUAUGAAUGUAUCUAGUAUAUUUAGAUACAUUCAUUUUUAGACAAAUCUAAGACACGGAUUUUGGGACGGAGGGAGCAUGGA